Molecule: long non-coding RNA, 1691 nt
Organism: Homo sapiens (human)
Lineage: Eukaryota; Metazoa; Chordata; Mammalia; Primates; Hominidae
Product: long intergenic non-protein coding RNA 1322
Source: Ensembl
CUGGAGAGAAUGAGCUUGGAGCCGCAGGGCUUAAUCCCGCGCGGCUCAGAGAUGGGUUUCUGGACUCGCGAAGCAGCUGCAACAAGGCAUCACUCACUGUAUAAGUAUUUCCAUUUCUGAGAGCAAAAGGAAGAACUUAAGCGGGCGGCACUUGGAGUGUAAAUUGCUUUGUAGUAUUUAAAGGCAGAAUGGAUCCUGGGCAGCCGAGCUGCAACAAACCGGCAGGACUUCCUGUGAAAUCAUGACCACCAUGUGCUCUUUCAGCCUCUAUCAGUUCCUACCUCUAAGCACCUGAGAGCCAAAGCAAACCACAGGAAACCACAGGUACUAACUCUUUUAGACCUGAUGAAGUGUCUCCCAAAUACAGUCUGGCAUGGCCUUUGGAGUCAGACUGGAACUACAGCAUUGACUCUUCCGGAACUCCAGCUUACUGACUACAGAUCUUGGAACUUUUCAGCUUCCACAACCAUAAUGAAAGCCAAGCAUAUUCCAUCAUUUCCUAAAACCAAGAUAGAGCACAUAUGGGAACUUGUGAAAUAAGGAUGCCCUGCGGUUGUUUUCAGGACUGAAGACAACAGCUCCACGAUGUAUCUUUGCAUAAGAAUACACUUGUAUAAUAAGUUUUUUUUUUUAGAGAAAUUGCAUGUAUCUGCCUUAUAAACUUUUUCAUUCAUUCAUUUUCUUUCUUCCUAAUCUGUUCCAUAAAGCAAAUUUCUAACUUAUUGUUAAUCAAAAUAAUUAUUGAAAUAAUUAGUACUUUCAUAUGAUAAAGAUUAUUUUAAUCUGCAGCUACAAAAUAUGUAACUCAUUAAUAUUUAAACAAUCACAAUUUUCUAUUAACAUUAUAGCAUUUUAUCUACUACUAGAUCAGGAAUUAGCUAUUUUUUGUAAAAUUUCUUUGUAAGGCAAAGCAAUAGUAUUGUAUAUACUUUCCUAAAGAUUGUCAAGUUCAGUUUUGCUUAAAUUUAACAGUACAUGUGACACUUUCUGUUUGAAGAAUAAGUUGGUUUUAAGUUUAUACCAAACAAAAGCAUCUCUUUUGUUUUGCAAAAUCUGAAACUUUGAUCUUUCUAGUUGUGACUUCUUGUAAAUAUGUUUUAUAUAAAUAUUCUAUGAAUUGGUUAUUAACAAGGUAAAGAAAGAUUGAUAUGUAAGCUGAUUCUUAAACAUUAAUUUUCUGGAGAUAAACUUUUUUAAAAUUAUGCUUUAAAAAUAUUUUAACACAUGUUAUCAAAAAGGAACUGAAAUAUCUUAGGCAUAAAAGACAUCUCUAGAGGUCAUUAUUCAGUUUCCAGAAAGUACUGAAACUAUCUCUGACAGAUUGAUACGUUUUCUGCAUUUAUAGCUCUCUGGAGAGAGGUUCUGUAUAUUUAACAAUUCUCACUGUGAGGGAUAUUUUAAGUAUUUCAAAUUUAAAGUGCUCAUGUUUCAGAUUCAGAUUAUUAUUAUCAUCAUCAUUAUUUUGGUUCUGGCUUCAGUAAAAAUGUGAAAAACACUUUUCCAUCUUCUGAUAAUAUUUCAUAUUUAUAAAAUUAUUAUUAAGUUAUAACUCAGCUUUUUCAUUUAUGCUUUAAAUCCUUUUAUUAUCUCAUCACAACCAUCUUUGACUGUUUAUCAGAAAUGGUUCUCUUUUGUACAUUGACCAUUAUUUUAUAGAUCACAUUUAAGUUAAUAUAAAUCAUGCCUAUAAA